GACGAACGCUGGCGGCGUGCUUAACACAUGCAAGUCGAACGGAAAGGCCCUGCUUUUGUGGGGUGCUCGAGUGGCGAACGGGUGAGUAACACGUGAGUAACCUGCCCUUGACUUUGGGAUAACUUCAGGAAACUGGGGCUAAUACCGGAUAGGAGCGCCUGCUGCAUGGUGGGGGUUGGAAAGUUUCGGCGGUUGGGGAUGGACUCGCGGCUUAUCAGCUUGUUGGUGGGGUAGUGGCUUACCAAGGCUUUGACGGGUAGCCGGCCUGAGAGGGAGACCGGCCACAUUGGGACUGAGAUACGGCCCAGACUCCUACGGGAGGCAGCAGUGGGGAAUAGUGCACAAUGGGCGGAAGCCUGAUGCAGCAACGCCGCGUGCGGGAUGACUGCCUUCGGGUUGUAAACCGCGUUCGCCUGUGACGAAGCGUGAGUGACGGUAAUGGGUAAAGAAGCACCGGCUAACUACGUG
RNAcentral lists this ribosomal RNA (468 nucleotides) under uncultured bacterium. RNAcentral's name for it is "partial 16S ribosomal RNA". It matches the Rfam family "Bacterial small subunit ribosomal RNA", at positions 28 to 507 of the family's 1533-position model. The record is from RNAcentral.